UACAGAGGUCCCGAGCGUUGUUCGGAUUUACUGGGCGUAAAGGGUGCGUAGGCGGUGGGGUAAGUUUGAGGUGAAAGCUCCGGGCUCAACCCGGAAAAUGCCUUGAAAACUAUCCGGCUAGAGGGUUGGAGGGGAGACUGGAAUUCUCGGUGUAGCAGUGAAAUGCGUAGAUCUCGAGAGGAACACCAGUGGCGAAGGCGGGUCCCUGGACAACACCUGACACUGAGGCACGAAAGCUAGGGGAGCAAACAGG
RNAcentral lists this ribosomal RNA (253 nucleotides) under uncultured bacterium. Its description in RNAcentral is "partial 16S ribosomal RNA". It matches the Rfam family "Bacterial small subunit ribosomal RNA", at positions 524 to 776 of the family's 1533-position model. The record is from RNAcentral.